This 253-nucleotide ribosomal RNA is filed under the name uncultured Bdellovibrionales bacterium. Its description in RNAcentral is "partial 16S ribosomal RNA". It matches the Rfam family "Bacterial small subunit ribosomal RNA", at positions 524 to 776 of the family's 1533-position model. The record is from RNAcentral. Lineage: Bacteria; Pseudomonadati; Bdellovibrionota; Bdellovibrionia; Bdellovibrionales.
UACGAAGGGUGCAAGCGUUGUUCGGAUUUAUUGGGCGUAAAGCGCGCGUAGGCGGACCUGUAAGUCAGAUGUGAAAUCUCGGGGCUCAACCCCGAAACUGCGUCUGAAACUACAGGUCUAGAAUCUCGGAGGGGAAAGGGGUAUUUCUCAUGUAGGGGUAAAAUCCGUAGAUAUGAGAAGGAACACCAGAGGCGAAGGCGCCUUUCUGGACGAGUAUUGACGCUGAGGCGCGAAAGCGUGGGGAUCAAACAGG